GACGAACGCUGGCGGCGUGCUUAACACAUGCAAGUCGAACGGAAAGGCCCUGCUUUUGUGGGGUGCUCGAGUGGCGAACGGGUGAGUAACACGUGAGUAACCUGCCCUUGACUUUGGGAUAACUUCAGGAAACUGGGGCUAAUACCGGAUAGGAGCUCCUGCUGCAUGGUGGGGGUUGGAAAGUUUCGGCGGUUGGGGAUGGACUCGCGGCUUAUCAGCUUGUUGGUGGGGUAGUGGCUUACCAAGGCUUUGACGGGUAGCCGGCCUGAGAGGGUGACCGGCCACAUUGGGACUGGGAUGCGGCCCGGACUCGUACGGGAGGCAGCGGUGGGGAAUAUUGCACAAGGGGCGGAAGCCUGAUGCGGCAACGCCGCGUGCGGGAUGACGGCCUUCGGGUUGUAAACCGCUUUCGCCUGUGACGAAGCGUGAGUGACGGUAAUGGGUAAAGAAGCACCGGCUAACUACGUG
RNAcentral lists this ribosomal RNA (468 nucleotides) under uncultured bacterium. Its description in RNAcentral is "partial 16S ribosomal RNA". It matches the Rfam family "Bacterial small subunit ribosomal RNA", at positions 28 to 507 of the family's 1533-position model. The record is from RNAcentral.